RNAcentral lists this ribosomal RNA (253 nucleotides) under uncultured bacterium. Its description in RNAcentral is "partial 16S ribosomal RNA". It matches the Rfam family "Bacterial small subunit ribosomal RNA", at positions 524 to 776 of the family's 1533-position model. The record is from RNAcentral.
UACGUAGGUGGCAAGCGUUGUCCGGAUUUACUGGGCGUAAAGAGCGCGCAGGCGGUCGUUCAAGUCGAGUGUGAAAGCCCCCGGCUCAACUGGGGAGGGUCAUUCGAUACUGAUCGACUCGAAGGCAGGAGAGGGUAGUGGAAUUCCCGGUGUAGCAGUGAAAUGCGUAGAGAUCGGGAGGAACAUCAGUUGCGAAGGCGGCUCUCUGGACCAGUACUGACGCUGAGGCACGAAAGCGUGGGGAGCAAACAGG